This 28-nucleotide non-coding RNA is filed under the name Mus musculus (house mouse). Lineage: Eukaryota; Metazoa; Chordata; Mammalia; Rodentia; Muridae. The record is from RNAcentral.
UGGAGUGCUCAAAGGCUGCAGAUCUUCC